CUUCUUCUUCUUCUUCUUCCUUUUGUAUGUUUUUCUUUGGACCAAAGGCCAAAGGCAACGCCCAAGAAGAUUAUAUAAAAGUUGAGUUUAGUGUUUCCACUCUUUCUUUGCUGGCCAUUUGAGACUGGGUUUCUUGAGAUGGUUUAUUAGAUUUCUGGUUUGAAAAUAGGUAUACCCACUUCAUCAAAUGAGGGGGAGUUGCUUUCUGUGACAUUUGUGUAAGUCCUAGCGUCUCAAUUUUCUGCAGUCGUUAAACCCAGAUCUUUCAUAGAUUCUUGAACGGCUUCUUUUUGUUUUGAGAACUCGGAAUAUAUGCAUAUAUAAUAUAUAUGUUUGUAUGUUUUUCUAGUGCUCCACACCAUUCAAAGAGAUCUUAUCUUUCUUUCUUUCGUUUAUUUUGAUGAGGCUAUAACACUUUUCAGUGAAAGAUUUUUUUUUUUUUAAUGUUUUGAUAUGGCUUUAAAGCUUUUUCAGUGAUAAAUCAAGUCACCCUUUAUGAGAUUGGAAGUGAAAACCAAGAAAGCUGCUUCUAUUUUAUUAUUGGUAGUCUUCUUUCUCUUUUCUUUCUUCUUUAUCCUUCAAAGCGAGUGUUUUGACAAGAGACCAAAUACUACUAGUCCAGUGGUGGACGAUUCCUGUAAAACUGAGUCCUUGUCCUUUCUGAGCCUUCAUAUAAACACCUAUCUUGAGUUCUAGUUAGUGUAAUUCUAGCCCUUUCCAGCAGGACUAUGUUUUUCUUGAGCUUUAGCUUCCUUAACCAAACCCAGAUAGGUUUGUACCUUUGCAAUACAAGAAACAAUAUUCUCAGAUAAGCAAUCUGAAUAUUCCAUUUCUAAGAUUGGCUUCUGGUUUUUAAAAAUUGAUCUGAUCUGAUUAAGUGGGUAGUGUUAUCGUUUUUGAACUUAAGAUAUGGCUCAGGAGAUAGUGCCAGAGAACCUCAACAAACGGCUUGCUCUUGCUGUGAGGAACAUUCAAUGGAGCUAUGCAAUCUUCUGGUCCAUUUCCGCUAGACAACCAGGGGUGUUGGACUGGGGUGAUGGGUACUACAACGGAGAUAUUAAGACAAGGAAAACAGUUCAGUCCAUAGAGCUUAAUGCGGACCAAUUGGGUUUACAGAGAAGUGAACAACUGAGAGAACUCUAUAAGUCUCUCUCAGCUGGUGAAGCGAGCCCACAAGCUAGGAGACCUUCAGUAGCAUUAUCCCCAGAAGAUCUUACUGAUACAGAGUGGUAUUACUUGGUCUGCAUGUCUUUUGUAUUCGACAUUGGCCAAGGCUUGCCAGGAAGAACCUUAGCAACUGGCCAACCUAUUUGGCUGUGCAAUGCUUAUUAUGCAGAUAGCAAAAUAUUCAGCCGCUCUCUGCUAGCUAAGGUAGGUUCUUGUUUCUUGCUUGAGAUCCAGAUUCAUUUCAGAUAUGUUCAAUGUGAGAAGAUGAAACUAAAUAUUUCUUUAUCUGAUUUCAAUUUUGUCUAUAAUUGAACUGUGGAAUCCAUCACCCUCAGAGCGCAUCUAUUCAGGUACCAAUUCUAACUAUUUUCUGAUAGAGCCCUGUUUUAUGGGCAUGAUAACACAGCAUUGCCAUUUUACCUGAAUGCAGAUUGUGCAACUAGUAAACUUAGAAUUUAUGAAUUUUGAAAACUUACUUGAAGGUAUACUAAUGGCAGCCUUUCUUGUUCAAACUUUCAGACUGUAGUAUGCUUUCCAUUCUUGAGAGGUGUGGUCGAGCUAGGGGUGACUGAGAUGGUAUGUGUCCGUUUCUGCUCAUGGUAUAAUGAACCAUAGUUUUGCGAUGGGCGCAUCUGAAUGCCAAUUUAAUGAGUUGUUUUUCUGAAGGUUUUGGAGGACCCAAGUCUCAUUCAGCAUGUUAAAACUUCGUUCUUGGACAUUAAAUGUCCUACAGUUGCUACAAAUACCAGUACAAGAAGUGACAAAGAACUUGCUGGUGCUGCUUUUGAUCAGGAGGUGCUAGAGGUCAAAUCAAUUCCAGUGGUAGCAUGUGAAGAAUUAGAUGCAGUUUCCCCCAAUGACAGUUCAAAUAAUCAACCGGAAGAGGAUUCAUUUAUGGUUGAAGGGAUAAAUGGAGGAGCUUCUCAAGUGCAAAGUUGGCAGCUAAUGGAUGAUGACUGUGUUCAUUAUUCCUUGAAUUCUAGUGACUGCAUAUCUCAAACCAUUGUAGAUCCUGUAAAGGUUGCUCCUCUUACUAACAACGAAAAGGCCAAUCUGCAAGAUGUUCAAGACUGCAACCACACCAAACUGACUGCACUGGAUCUUCGAAGUGAUGAUUUUCAUUAUCAAAGUGUUCUCUCAUCUCUCUUAAAGACCUCCCAUCCAUUAAUUCUAGGAUCACAUUGUCAAAAUGGUAACAAGUUAUCCAGCUUCGUCAGUUGGAAGAAAGUGGGAUUGGUGCAUUAUCAGAUAUCAAAAGGUGCACCCGCGCAGAAACUAUUGAAGAAGAUACUGUUUGAAGUUCCUCGAAUGCAUGUCAGUGGCUUGCCCGAGUCCCCAGAAGACAACAGCAAUAGAAUUGGAGUUUGGAGACCAGAGGCGGAUGACAUAGGUGCAAACAAUGUAUUACUAGAGAGAAAACGAAGAGAAAAGCUAAAUGAGAGAUUUAUGAUUCUCAAAUCGAUUGUUCCUUCAAGCAACAAGGCGGAUAAAUUAUCUAUCCUAGAUGAGACAAUAGAAUACCUGCAACAGAUGGAAAGAAGAGUUGAAGAGUUGGAAUCAUGCAGGGAUUCAACAGAGUUAGAGGCAAGAACAAGAAGGAAACGCCAAGAUGCCAUAGAGAGAACAUCUGAUAACUAUGGCAGCUACAAAAUUCGUAAUAACAAGAAGCCUCUGGUAAACAAGAGAAAAGCUUGCAACAUUGAUGAAACAGAGCCAGGGAUGGAUUAUGACAUAUCAAAAGAUACUUCAACUGAUAACAUAAUUGUCUGUAUGAACGACAAGGAUGUACUAAUUGAGAUCAAGUGUCCUUGGAGGGAGGGAUUAUUGCUGGAGAUCAUUGAUGCAGCAACUCAGCUGCAUUUAGAUUCUCACUCAGUUCAAUCAUCCACCAUUGAUGGGAUUCUUUCUCUGACAAUCAAAUCUAAGCAGAAGGGAUUAACAGCUUGGUCAGCUAGGGCGAUCAAGCAAGUACUUGAAAGAGUUGCUUCUAAAUGUUGAAGCUUGGACUCACAUGGAUGUCUGGUUAUUUUUGUCAUUGGAAUUUCACUGCUUCUGUUGUAAAAUUAUGUACGAUCACGGUUAUUAGCGCAGAGGAUUUUCCUCCAUGUAGAGUAGCCUAAUAGGCAGAAAUAAACCUGUUUCGAAUGUUGUUAUUUUCUUAAGUGAUCAUGUAUCUAUAGUAUGCACUUCUGCACCUAAUAGGAACUCACGUCUUAUAACAAUACCAAAUUCAUAAAAAUGUACUUGCAGAUGCAAUUUAGAAAAGAUCAGAAUCUGAUUUCAGCCACUCAAAUGAGAUACAAAUCCAGGGAAAAUAAUGCCAGUAUUUUUGGAGUUUCUGGAUGUAAAUUUGGUUCAACCCCCUGUAACAGAUUGUGCAUUUCUUUCAAAAGGUGUUGGCACUCUUCACCGGCAAAGGACAAAUUCAACAGGUUGGUGUGUGUCAGCAGCAAAUGGAAAACUUGAGAUUCACCACUGGAUUGGAAUGAAGUGCUUUUAGCAAAGCAGUAACCCAUUCGAAUAGUCAAAAAUAAAGGAUGAAAAAAUGGGAAUUUUUCAAAGUAUAUAUAGAAAAAUUAACAAUGCUGGCUGACAAGGAGUAGGCACAAAACAUACCAUCAUUGACUCUUGAAUAAUAGAUCGCUUCUGCAUUAGAAAUGUGGACUUUGUCACUUUUGUAUUAGGUUGAUAGAGACUUUACAUUGUUUUGGGCAAGCACGCAAGCUUAGAUUAAGUUGCUUGUAGAAUGAAAUGAGAUUUAUAUAUUUUGUCUUGUGCAUCUUAAUAACAUUUACACUUCACAUGUAUCAUGGUUUCUUU
Molecule: unclassified non-coding RNA, 3987 nt
Filed under: Hevea brasiliensis (rubber tree)
Lineage: Eukaryota; Viridiplantae; Streptophyta; Magnoliopsida; Malpighiales; Euphorbiaceae
Source: RNAcentral